Molecule: non-coding RNA, 23 nt
Filed under: Mus musculus (house mouse)
Lineage: Eukaryota; Metazoa; Chordata; Mammalia; Rodentia; Muridae
Source: RNAcentral
UAGGACACGGGCUAUUGUGAGGC